Molecule: ribosomal RNA, 453 nt
Filed under: Acinetobacter baumannii
Lineage: Bacteria; Pseudomonadati; Pseudomonadota; Gammaproteobacteria; Moraxellales; Moraxellaceae
Description: partial 23S ribosomal RNA
Rfam family: Bacterial large subunit ribosomal RNA
Source: RNAcentral
GUUGGUUAUGCACGUCCAAGCACUGAGGCAGUAUCCGGAGGCAAAUCCACGGAUAUAAUGCUGGGGUGUGACGGGGAGCGAAAUUUAGUAGCGAAGCAUCUGCAUUCACACUGUCGAGAAAAGUCUCUAUCGAGUUUAAAGGCGCCCGUACCGCAAACCGACACAGGUGGGUGAGGAGAGUAUCCUAAGGCCAGCGAGAGAACUGUUGUUAAGGAACUCGGCAAAAUGACCCCGUAAGUUAGCGAUAAGGGGUGCCAUCGAAAGAUGGCCGCAGAGAAUAGGCCCAAGCAACUGUUUAACUAAAACAUAGCUCUCUGCUAAAGCGUAAGCUGAUGUAUAUCUGCUUCCGGUUCAUUAUCCUUCAAAUCGGCAAGCAUAUUCAACGCCUUGUUUUCAACCCGAGCCAUCCGUUUCGGCUGGCGCAACCCCUUGGUUACAAUACUCAUAUUAUAU